This is a long non-coding RNA of Bombus huntii, 19590 nucleotides long. RefSeq lists it as uncharacterized. The record is from RefSeq and is a predicted model, not a curated record. NCBI's taxonomy places the organism in Eukaryota, Metazoa, Arthropoda, Insecta, Hymenoptera, Apidae. The transcript is spliced from 2 exons.
AAUUCCAAUUGUGUUAUUUAAUUUUAAAGAGUCUUCCAAAGUUUCAAUUUCGUUUAGUUUCAUUCUAAUUGGAUUCUACUUUUGUUUUACCAAUAUCUUCCUGAAAGAGACUUUCUUAUUUUCCUUACAUUUUGUAGAAUUCCUAGAAGAGGAGGAUAUUUACAAUCUUCACUAGCCAUAGCUUGAAACAUCCAUCUGCAUCAGUAGAUGAUAGGAGACUUGAUAAUUCCAAUUGUGUUAUUUAAUUUUAAAGAGUCUUCCAAAGUUUCAAUUUAGUUUAGUUUCAUUCUAAUUGGAUUCUACUUUUGUUUUACCAAUAUCUUCCUGAAAGAGACUUUCUCAUUUUCCUUACAUUUUGUAGAAUUCCUAGAAGAGGAGGAUAUUUAUAAUCUUCACUAGCCAUAGCUUGAAACGUCCAUCUGCAUGGGUAGAUCAUAGGAGACUUGAUAAUUCCAAUUGUGUUAUUUAAUUUUAAAGUGUCUUCCAAAGUUUCAAUUUCGUUUAGUUUCAUUCUAAUUGGAUUCUACUUUUGUUUUACCAAUAUCUUCCUGAAAGAGACUUUCUCAUUUUCCUUACAUUUUGUAGAAUUCCUAGAAGAGGAGGAUAUUUAUAAUCUUCACUAGCCAUAGCUUGAAACGCCCAUCUGUAUCAGUAAAUGAUCUAGGAGACUAUAAUAAUUUGGAUUGGGUAUUUUCAAUCCCAAACUUGUUUGUUAUUUUGCUUCCAAUCGUCGAAUAUUUAAUUGUCUACCUUAUAUUCUAUAUUUUAGAAGCAAUUACUCGCAUCUGUCAUAUUUAAUAUGAAACAUAUGAAUUAAUGUAGAGAAGCAAAGAGUCAAGAAUAGAGGAGGUUGGAAGAAUACGAAAGUUGGAAAAACUAUUUAUCAUUGAUAAUACUCAUGAAUAUUUCUAGUAAGAAAUUAUAUACAAUAUCGCACCAUGUCACAUUUAUGCGAUUGCUAUUUCAACCACGUUGAAGUACAACUAAUCUGUACCUGUCUAAUCUACAGGUGAGACAAAAUAAUGUAAACACAACUUUUAUAUAUAUUUUACGAUACUAUACAUACAUAUACGACGCACACACGAUACGCAAAAUGUACUUACUGUAAUUUACUGUAAUUAUUUAAUGUAAUUAAGAUAAAAUACCGCCAUGCAAAUUAUUACAGUCGCCUCGAUAACUCAAAACUCAAGGAUAUCAAUUAGGAGUUAAGUUAUACACGGUGUGUCUAGAUUUCUCUUGAUUCUCUUCAGGGUAUUGGUCGGAAUGGCUGGUAUAUUUCAAGCACCGCGUAGCCAGGCUUCGAAAUGCAAACGAAACAUAUAGUUAUCGAUUAAACCAGCUCGCCACGUCCAGUUACAAAUCACUCACGCGACCGUGUGUAUAAUGAGCCACGCUGUGGGCAAACUACGCUCGUCGCUCGACUUAUGUUUAUUCCGUUAGCUGCGACGGUUACAUCAUAAACUCACGUAGGACGAAGCAGAACGAAGGGGAGAAACACGAAGAUGGAAGAACGACGAGGAACAGCGAAGGUAAGAAAGGGGUAGGAGAAAUUAACGAGAAAGUUGAUUCGCUUAUCUGGAAACGUGAUACGGAACGAUAUUUUUCAACAUUUUUCAUUUCUUUUUUUUUUUUUUUUUUUUUUUUAAACGCCAGUCACGAUACCAUGCGACGUAUAAUACAAUUCCUAUUAUUAUGGCGUAUCCCGUGUAAAUACGUCUAUUUUCGUAAGGGCGAGGACCAUUCUUAGCCUCGUACAGAACUUGAUAAUUGACACGGAUUAUCUGGCAGGCGAUCAGAGCCAAUGAAAACUUGGUACACGUGCAAAACAACGAUCGAGAACACGAUGCACAAGGGGUGGCGCAAGUAGCUCGGAAAAAUCAAAUCGUAACUUUAUUUCGGCUAAUUCGUGCUUGAUCUUAGCUUGGAUAAUAUCGUUACAAAGUUGAAAUUCUCCGUAUUGUUUGUUAUUAUGGUACUUGGAUUUAAAAAAUCACGUUCGUUUACGGUUUUGCGAUAUUUUUCUAGUCAGCUAAGAUGGAAGAACAUUUUGUAGCUAUUUUACACGCGGAUAUGUUCGAACGUUAAUGCCGAAAGAUAGAAAUAUUGGCGCAAAAGGAGGAUGGAAAACACGACGCAAAGGCUGGUAGAAGUAGCUUGGAAAAAUUAAAUCAAACCUUUAUUCCAGGUAAUUUAUGCUUGAUUCUACCUUGGAUAAUUUUAUUAUGAAGUUCAAGUUCUCCCUCCACAUUCCUUCUUUUAUUAUUAAUACACGUACUACGCCUGGACGAAAAAAAGAUCACUUUUACGGUUUAAUUAUAUUUUUGUUGUUAAUUAAGACGAAGGAACAGUUUCUAGGGAUUUUAAGCGUAGAUACGUCAAAUAUUAAUGCAAGAACAGAGAUUUAAUAUUAGAGGCGAUUUCAAUUUUCCAGAAAAUUAUUUCCAUCCUACAUAUGUGUACUAUACCGUGCUUCUCAAAAUUAAAUAAAAAUCGUCUACCCUUUACUUUCCCGUUUCUCAUCGCACAGUAGCCCAUGGUUGUACGAACUUGCGAACAAAAUUAUGUUAUACAGCUUGUCACAAACCGAUGACUAAAUAUCGGCGCGAUUUUCUUCAGUUUUCAGACGUCGAAUAAGACAUUUUGCAUAAACAAGUACCUUAACAAUUUUCAGUUUGAUACUUUUAAAAAUUCAUGGAAUAAUUUCUCGCAGGAAAAUACAAAAAUCGAGGCUCGUGCUUGCGGACAAUUUAUUUCACGGAAGACCGUGACAUUGCCAUGAAGUACCAUUAUAGUCGGCGGGAAAACACUUUUGCAGCCCUUCGCUGCUCACAAAUUGGGAAUCCAGGGCGCAGAGUUAGGCAAUCGGUGCCGGAUUGAAUCCGCAGCCCUCGGAUAAUACGACCGCGUCGCUGUAUAAAUUCCUCUUCGUCUCGCAUCUCGAGAGUCAGCAAUGUACCGUUGGAUCGCCACGGCGGAAUAAGAAGACCAGCGAUUAGGAGCCGGUGGCAUCGCGAGAUUCGCAGUUCGCCUUGUCUCGUAAUCGAAAUCCACCCCACGUGGCUCAUCGAAUUGCCGAUUUUUCGAGGCUAAUCCUUCCGCAGGAAAUGGGACGUGGUUGACGAUCCGGGCUUCCAACAGGAUCGCAGCGACACUUAAUCCUCUUGCACGGAGAAUAAAAGGAUAGGGGAGUGUGUGUUUUUGUGUUUGCGCGUGUGUCUGUCUGUCUGUCUACGGGUUUAUCUGCUGUCUGCCAUCUUCUCACAUUAUAAUUGCGCGUUGCGAAAUUUUUACGUAAGCACACGGACGAAAUCGUUCUGUCGCAGCCGACCAUUUCACGGAGUUUGUAUCAGAGACGCAAAAUGACGUCUCUUUGCAAGCGAACGACUCAGCAAAAAUGAACUUUCAUUUAGACGGAGCCGAUUCGUCGAUAAAUCCGAAAGAAAUUUAGAAAGCAAGCCAAACGAUUAAGAAAUGUUCGUUUCCAAUUGCUCCGGUUUCGAGUAACUGUGUUACGAACGAUUGCGAUGUUUUUCGGCUACCAGUGACUAUAUUAUCGAUGAUAGUAAUUGCUACAGAUAACUGGAAUUUUCCUCGGUUACCUCGCUAACCAUUGUCUAUAGGGCGAAUUUUUAUUUUGCAUAAUAAUAAGCACUGUGUUUGUUUGGCUGUCGCUAACCAACGUUGAUUCGACAAGGAUUUUUCCCGGUUACAUGUUCAUCGGUGUUCAUUGACAACGUAGGAAAGAUUAAUUACAAAAGCUGUGUACUUUAUAAACGAAAAAAACGACAUGAAAAUAUAGGAAAGAGAGAAGAGAAUAAGAGACAUCGUAGUGGAAUAUUAAGGCGAGAUAAAACUGUCGUAGUGCAAUUACAUCUUCUUCUUUGUUUUAUUUAUCUUAAUCCGUUGUUUCACGUAUUUUCGUAUCGUUGUUCCGCUUAAUAAAAUAUAGUAGUUUUCUAAUUAACUGGCUUCACGUUGUCAACGAAUACGUAUGCUAACCAUCGGUAAUGUUAAUAAUAAUCGACAACGGUCGACUGCAGAACGAGAAAAAAUUUUUGCCAUCGAUAAUGGUUAUCGGUGAACAAAAUAAAAUUCCAGUCAUCGUUACUGCGGUAAGCAAAAAAGAUUUCGGUCAUUUAUAUUGGUUACUGGUAACCGAAAUCAAAUUCCCGUCAUCGAUAAUGGUUAUUCGUAACCAAAAUAAAAUUCCCGUCAUCGAUAACGAUUACCGGUAAUCAAAAAGGCUUUAAUCAUUUAUGACGGUUAUUCGCAAGUAAAAUUUCCUUAAUUAAGGAUAAUUAACUCUUGUACCAUAAUUUUUUAAAUUUAUCUUAUGGCGGUUACGAUGCCUGUUUUGUAUUCCUCUUUUGUCCUCGUCUAUUUAUUUAUUUGUUUAUUUAUUUAUAUGUUUAGCGUUUAAUAAAAUCAUUAACGAGAAAAAAAAGAAAAAUAAACGCGGGAACAUGGAUAAUUUAUUAUUAUAGUGUUUGCGGGAUUAAAUAGUAUUUAUUAGUUAAUUACAUGAAGUCGAGGAGCUUUGUUUGUUUAUGAAAUUUGUUCCGUAUUCCUCUUUUGUCCUCGUCUAUUUAUUUAUUUAUUUAUAUGUUUAGCGUUUGAUAAGAUCAAUAGCGAGAAAAAAAAGCAAAAUAAACGCGGGAACACGGAUAAUUUAUUAUUAUAGUAUUUGCAGGAUUAAAUGAUGUUUAUUAGUUAAUUACACAAAAUCAAGGAGCUUCAUUUGUUUAGAAAACAAUUAUAUCAACAACAUAUACAAGUGUACAUAUAUAUACACUUCUUGUGUACAAAGUGCAGAACUAAUUUCUUUCAGAUUUUUCCUAAACUAAAAAUAAACUAAUUCCUCGACAACAGCUUCUUGCUAUAUAUGUGCCCAGUACAAUAAGCUUGAACAGCCUUACAGAAAACACCUACAGACGUAGGUGAAAAAUGUAUUUAUUCUAAAAUUGUUAUAUCAAAUCGCCGAAUGUUAUUAUUUUAAUGCGCGUGUUACAGAGGAAAACUGAUGAAAAACGCUGGGUUGCAUCUGUUUUCAACACGUUUGCCAAACGAAUUUUUCGGUCUUUGCGUCGAUACCGCGCAUCAUCGUAGUUCGCCACGUUCACUGCGUUUCUACGUUCCCUUUGAACCCGACUUAAUUUCUGUUACAGGGGUAUUACGCCGAGGCCAUUAACUCGCCUCGUGUAACUAUUAACUUCCGGCGGAUCUGAAUGCCACACACAUUUAUAAUAAUUCUUCUGCGCUAAAAAUGACUGCCAAGUAACGAAUCAAUGUUGCGUUUAUACGUACACCUACACGUACGCAUAUACGCGAGAAUAAAUCUGGCUUCUACGUGACUAAGUGACUCGCUGUAGAAAGCGCGUGCAUUUAUCAAAAUGAUAGCGCGCCGAAGGAUGGGCGCGCCAACGUUCUUCGAAUUUCUCAAUCAGCGUAAAGAGCUCGAUGAAGCCCGACGAAGAACGAAAAGUCUGCCGGGGGACCGAUAUUUUCAAUUUUUCGGAAAAGAUCGAGUCGCUGUUCCCUGUCGUACGAAUAAUUGUGCCAUUAAAGGGUUGGAUUUAAAACGCUUAAAAGUUGGUUGUGUCAAGGCAGUGAUCAAGUUUUGGUAAACAUAGAAAUAGGGAAUUCUACUUUUAAAAAGCUGAACUCGCCAUUAACAAUAGAACCACCGAUAGUCAAUACGAAGCUAUUUCUACCAAAAGCAGUGAAAGUCACUGGUCUUUAAAAAAUACCUAACAAUGGAAUAUUUUUAUAUUUAUUGGUUUAUUACUUUCUUACGGAAGCAACUCCAUGUUAUGUAGUACAUUUUUGGUAUUUUUAAUCCAUCUGGGACUAUGAUCCCUAAACGAGGAUUGACACAUUUGUACAAAAAUUGUAGAACCAGUCGUUUUGACUGCUGUGGCGUUUCCAGCGUUAGCAUCUAGCGAUCCAGCGAUCGAUCCGGAAUUCUCCUGUUAACUGAUACGCGGUGGAAAUUAGAAAAACGUGUGUCAAGUUGUAGACAACGAGAAAACUGGUUAAUUGGGGUCCGAUAAACAGAGUGCAGGACUCCUGUACACUUUGACAAGUACCAGUCAUUUCGACUGCUAUUGGUACAAGUAGCCUUGAUACAAAUGUAACAAAUUUGAAUUUAGUUUGAAAAUAAAUUAAAUUAAUUAAUAAAUUAAAUAUGAGAAUAAAUUUGUAAACCCAGUCGAUUGGACUGGUGUGGUAGUUCUAGUGUUAAACAUCGUGCAAGAUGUCAAGAGAUCGUUCGUCCCUGUAAUUCGAAAACUAAUUCGACAAUAUUUGGCGAACAGCAAAAUAUCGUAUUUUAUACAGAAACUUUGCUGUUUUCUUCCGUGUUUUCGCGAGAAUCGUAUUAUUGAAAGAAUUUAAAUGCAACAACGAUCAGAUCGAUUUCGAUUCUUAAAACAGUACAGCAACAGCUUUAGCCCAGAAAUUCGAACGAAUUACACAGAUUACCAUACAAACAUGAUUUUUAUCCCACACAACAUAGGCUUUUCAUUUUCUAUUCUUAUCGCGAGAAAUAAAAAUUUCUACUUUGGUCACGGCUCCUAUAUUUCUCUAAUUUUCUUGCUUCCAAAAAUUGUUAAAUAGAUUCUUCUUGUAAUGGAUUCUAAAAUAGACUGCUGCAUGCAGCACUCUGCAGUCAUUGAAAUUUUAUAUUCCGUAGACUGUAAUAAAAUUCAUUCUUUAUAUUCCAUUUAUACGUCUCUAUCCUACAGCUAUUUAAAUCCUUCGCGGUUCAUCAAUUAUUAUAGGUACAUUUUACUUAUAAUUACAGUUAUUUACACGUUUAUUAUUCUUCCUUUUGUUCAUCCAACUGUAUGUAAAUUCUUACAUUAUCCGAUCAAUCAGUUUCUCAAUUUUCGUUAAUAGAAGAAUCUACAUAAAGUCAGACGAACGAAAAAAAUAAAAAAGGAUGAACGUGGAAUUUUAAAUUAAAUUUCGAAUGUUAUUAUUUCAUUGUUGAAUUAAUCGCCGACUAAAAAUACUCAUACGUUACGGAGUAUCUUUAAUGGAUGUAAAAUAUUUGCACGAACUUCUGCCAGAUUACAACCAACCUUCCCAUUCUACCGUGAACCCUUUGGGAGACAAACAGUCCAUAUAACUGGAGUUCAUGCAGUUUACUGAUUUACUAUCUGCGAUUUCUCAUUCAAAUAAUAAAACGUUCGCAUAGGCAAAGUAAGGAGAUUGAAUCAACAGGACUUUGCUUAGUUUGGAGGCCGACUAAGAGGUCGAAUAAAAAAUCCAGAAUGCUGGAAACAUACGAAAUGUUGAGAUUUUUCGAAUAGAAUAUCAGAAACGUUUAUUUCCAAAAGAAGAUAUUCUGUUGCAACAAAUUUUCGCCGAAGGAUCAAAAGAAGCUUGAAAAGUGCUGCUCCGAAAAUGUCAAGUUUCCCUCUCGCAUUUCCAUGCCCGAUUCAAAUUCCACAGAUUUGAAGUUCCUCCGGCUACUUUCAGACAUCGUCGCAUCCAACGACCGAUUAAAAUCUCGAGGAAUAAAAUCGUUUCAAGCGGUGGAACUAAUUGUACGUUUACGGCGCAACUACAAUUUCGUUAGUUUCAGGUUGCCCUAGCGAGAAUUUUUAAUUUCCGCGCGGCAAAAAAUUCCAAUCUGCCUGUUCCGCGAGAUCGCAAUCGCAGAAAUUUCCAAAACCUCCGACAAACGCGCUCUACGAAAAUUCGCAGAAGGGAAAUUUCUAUCCGCUAGAUUUUUCGUUUCUCGUCGAACCUAGAAAACGUGGUUCGCAUAGUCCGGAUGACUUGGAGGCGCGGUCACCGGGUCCCCUUCGGCUCGUUGUGUCUAAAAAUGAAGCAACUGGUCCUGCCACGUUCUGAAAUAGGCCGAUUCCUAGGACAGCUGCGGGCUACAGAAUGCAGCAUAGAAGCGGACAUAGAACGAGAAAGGAAGAAUAAAGUAAAAGAGAGAGAGAGAGAGAGGAAGGUAGAGGGAAAGAGGAGGUGAAAAAGAAGGAGAAGAGAAGAUUCACCGUUAGAAUCGAAACGAUACGCGACCACGGUGGUCCAGCGAUACGAUUCCACCACCAAUCACACGAUUUAGGGUCGUCGAAAGUGCUCGAAAUUUCCGUGGUCGCGCCUAACGUACGUACGCGACAGGAUACUUCGAUAUUCUUUCGCAAGCGGCGACUUUUCGUUAUCGUCCGUAAGAAAAGCCAUUACAAGCGACCGGUUCUUCGAAACGAAACAAGAAGUGCAAGUUGCGGCGGAUCAACCGGCCACAGAACGAUACGGCGAGGACAAUUAGUAGCCUUGCGAGGAUGUUGCUCGUUCGUUUCGGGAUCGAGAUAAGAUUUAACAUCUGAACUAUGUAUAUACAGGGUGGUUGGAAACUGGCGGUACAAGCGGAAAGGGGGUGGUUCUACGCGAAAUAAAAUUUUUUUUUUUAAUUUCUCCAUCGAGACAACGAUUUUCGACUUCUUUUUCUCGACACCCUGUAUAUAUAUACAGAUCGAAUAACACGUAAAAGGGGGCAGGACGCGAUUCCGUAUGGAAAAAUAAGAAAAUAAGGUGGAAUAAAAUUUUCUCGGUUUCAACUUAGUUUUCGAGAAAAUCGAGUUCGAAAACCUGUGGAAUAAGCUCAAGUAUAUGAAAUAUAUGAACAUGGCUAAUUACCGAGUGGAUACGAGCAAUAGGAUAUCAUCGUAGAAGCGAAAACAAGCAACAAAUAUAAGAUAGAAUUUUUCCGUUUACGACUUUAUCUUCGAGAAAAUUCGACACUCGAACGUGUUCGGUUGAGAAUCGAUCUGCUACUUGCACGCCUAUGAUAAAUUGUCAAAUUUAUUUUUUCGGAAGCGAGGAGUCUUGAGAAAAAAUUCUAUUCCACGUUCUCGCCUUAUUUUUACGAUGUAGAGUGACGUGCUGUCGAUCAUUUAGUCCCGUCCAGUCCAGGUUUCGUCAUGUUCGCGUAUACUUGAUAAAUAUUCAAAGUCGAUUUUCUAGAGAAUUAAGCCGACGAUGGAAACACCUUAUUCUAUACCUUUUCCCUAUUUUUCCACAAGCAUAAUUGCAUAUUAGUUGGUUCAUUUAUUUGCAUAAUAAUAAUAAUUAUUCGCUACAUACGUUGUCAACAAUUAAUUAAUUCUUUUUUUAAUAACGUUGACCACAAAUUGUCAACGAGACUUUGAACUUAACAGCCUCUAUUUUAUAAGAAAAAUUCUACUCAAAAAUCAUUUUGGAUUUCAAUCAAAAAAUGAUAAUAAUAAUGAUGAUAUAAUUAAAAAGAAAAUUAAACGUUCGACUUCUAUUGUGCUCGGUAUUUACUUCGCCCCGAUGAAUUAUUCAAAAGUUGUUUUAGUUGGUAUAAUUUGUCAGAAGUUAGUAAUCUAGGAUAACAUUGAAAUCCAUUAACGCAAGACCUAUGUCGGUCAGCUUCGCGCUGCUAUCUGUACUAAUUCAUCUUAUUGUUCGAAAAGUUACUUUUACCUGAGCAAUCCAUCAUGUGGCAACGUCUCAGGUACCAACGAUUCAACAGUGCGUGGCUAUAUCAAUUGUAAGAAAAAUCUACGUCCCUCGUUGCCACAUUACACGCUGUUGUUUUCAAGUUAGAGUUUGCCAAUUAUCCGGCGAAAAUGAACUGUCUAAUUCUGCGUAUCGCAGCCUGACGAUCUAAUCCAUUAAAUACGAGUGUCCAUUUCAACUACCUGAAAAAUCCACAAAGAAAGGAGAGCAAAUCCCAGGUGACCUGAAGUCAUAACUUUGCCAAUUAUCAGGAGGAAAUCAAUUUUUAAAUUCUGAAUGUUAAAAGAAAGACGGUGACGGUCUGACCUGGUCUGAGACCCAAACCGAUGAUCUAACCAAUUAAACAUGUAAGUCGCUUAAAGCCGGCUGAAAAAUUCAGGGAAAAGGAGGAUGCACCUGAACGAACAGGAAACGAGAAAGCAGAUUGACGGCCUCGACCUGUAAUUUGGAAAUUAUUGGAACAAAAGGAAUUUUGUAAUUUUCUAUACAUCGAAAGAAGGACGUUAAGAAUCGACGGAAAAGGAAGAUGCAUCUAAAGCUGAGACAAACGCGGAGAUCAACGAUGCCAUCCACGCGGUGCAAGGACCGAAAUAUCAAAAAGUGAAUAUAGGCUUUUCGACGAAAAAGAUACCAGUGACCAGUUGAGAUUAAAAAGAACGCAUUUGCGGUAUAAAUAGCAUGCCGCUAGAAAGUGUGCAACUUUCUUCUAAGAAGCUUUUCAUACGAAGAAUGCAGAUGUUCAAGAGAUUCUGAGGAUCCUAAAGCUACGUCAGAAAUCCGCAAAAGGAGCGAUAGGCCAAGAAGGACACGUGAUAGCACGGAGAUGCCAGACGCGCAAGGAUCGAAAUCCCAGGUGACCUCUGGGUGGAGCCCAUUUUUCUACUCGCACGGUGACGAGAGAUGCACAGGCGGACACGGUGUUUCUGGUUCACGGUCGAGUCACAAAGUGGCCGGUUUAACUUUUAAAUGGAGUGCAGGGCGAGGCAGUGACGGACCCGAGGAAGGGAUAGGCAACAGAGAACGAAGCUACCAGGCAGAGGGAAAACUGUGCGACUCGAACUCGGUGCAAGUAGGCAUGGCUUCCUGUUGGCAGCCGAUGCGUGACGCCCACACCAGUCAUCUAGCUUCUUGCAAACGCGCCGGCGAAACCACCGGCCUCUGGCAUUUCUCCUGUCCGCUGACGGGAUCAUCGAAGGCACGCUGACGCGUCCUGAGAUCGGUUCUUCGUCCACGCGUAACGCGUGUGCCGGUCUACGUCCUGUUUCUGUCGAUGCUACAUCCUCGUGAAAACGUAUGGAACCGUUAACGGUGGCGCGGCAUUUCCGUACGGUAGGUGCGGUUCAGCAACAGUCGUGCGACCGUUUUACUGUUAGACCAGGCCACCACGUUGUAAUUAUCAAUCGUUCGCGUUUAUUUUUCGCGGGCAAAAAACUGUUUCCUCCGAUACGCGGCCGGCUACCUCGUCAGCCUGGAAUUAUUUCGAUCCGCCGGUCAGAUAAUGUUUAAUUUUAAUUUUUAAUUCGAACACGCCGGGUUCAGCGAUGCUGCGCUCUCUCGACUGGAACGCACGCCAGCCCGUGAAUCCAAGCAAAUUGGAAAUAUACUUUCGUACGGCGGAAGAGUCGUUCGGAGGACCGCGCUUGAAGAUCGCUCGCUCGCAAAUGUUGGCCGGUUGCACGCGCAAUGAUAACUUGACGAUUCCUUUCGGAGAAUGGCACUCACGGUCUUUGUAUCGUUCUUUUUCCUGCAAUUCUAAUUCACACGGGGUCUCUGUGAGCAGAUUACGCGCCACUAUGUUACGUGAUCGAUCGUCAGAUAUUUUUUUUUUUUAUUUAUCGAUAUUUGAACUUUUUUUCUCAACAGAUUGGGAUUACAACAGGGUCGUAGAAGACGAGGGGCAAUAGGAGUAACGUAAGACGCGCGUAAAUCUGUGCAGGUUGAUAUUAAUGCGGAUUAUCAGGAUAAAUGCAUGUAGCUGUACUGAUAUCGUGUAUCGUAAUUUAAUUUUCUACUGUCUCCUCGUUCUUUCUCCUGCAAUUCUAAUUCACACGGGUCUCUGUGAGCAGAUUAAUGCCGCUAUGUUACGUGAUCGAUCGUCAGAUAUUUUUUCUCUAUUUAUCGAUAUUUGAAUAUAUAGAUCUUUGAAGGUUGAUAUUAAUGCGGAUUAUCAGGAUAAAUAAAUUAGGAUAAAAAUAAAAUCAGGAUAAAUUCACACAGGUCUCUGUGAGCGGAUUAAUGCCACUAUGUUACGUGAUCGAUCGUCAGAUAUUUUUUCUUUAUUUAUCGAUAUUUGAACUUUUUUCUCAACAGAUUGAGAUUACAACAGGGUCGUAGAAGACGAGGGGCAAUACGAGUAACGUAAGACGCGCGUAGAUCUGUGCAGGCUGAUAUUAAUGCGGAUUAUCAGGAUAAAUAAAUUGGGAUAAAAAUAAAAUCAGGAUAAAUGCAGGUAGUUGUACUAUGUAAUAUCGUUAUUGUACUGGUAUCGUGUAUCGGUAUUGUAAUUUAAUUUUCUACUCUUUCCUCGUUUUUCCUCCAGCAAUUAUAACUCACACAGGUCUCUGUGAGGAGAUUACGUGCCACUAUAUUACACUAUACUACGUGAUCGAAUAUCAGAUAUUUUCCAACAGAUUAUAAUUACAACAGGGUUGUAGUAGAUAACGGGUAAUACGAGUAAUAUAAGACGCAUGUAGAUCUAUACAGGUUGAUAUUAAUGUGCAUUAUGAGGAUAAAUGCAGGUGCUUGCAUGUAUAGCUAAUAGAGUUUACCUUAAGUUAUAAUUAUCAUUAUGCUUUAACGUGCACGUGUUUUUGUUUAUGCGCACGUUUUACGAUUAUUGUUCUGAUUUAUUUCCUAUGUGCAACUGCGAGUGACCGCAGAGCUGUAAGGCAGGUCAAAAUACACGAUACGAUCAUGAUUCUAAUUACUCAUUAUGUUCUUAUGAUUAGUUUACUAGUAUACUCUUUCAACUAUCCUUCAUACUAUGCUUCUUGUAUCAUCUGUAUAGUCGCAAGAUAGUAGCUGCACAUAUUUUACAAGAAUGAAACGCUGUAUGCCUGUGUGCCACAUUGUUACGCCACUUUGUGCUCGCUUAUCUGCUAUAUUUCUUACACUAUACAUUUACAACAUUACAUAACACGUCGUUGCUCUUGAGUCAACGGAAGACUCACGCUCUUUUGUGCCUUGGAAUACCAACGUUGUUUUCGUUUGCUAGAUACCAUCGCCGUUGUUUUUGAUCGCCAACCGGAGUUACAUCUGAACUUUUCAUAACAACACCGGUCGAUACAAAUAAACGAACGUGUUCUCUAGGACAGUUAUCAUAGCGAGUCAGAUAGUCGAGCAGAGGAGCGUACGGUCGAACAGUAGCAUUGAGCGAGCAACGACUACGACAUACACUAUCUCUGCACUUGUAUUUGCGAUGAUUUUAAUAUAAUCGACUAUUAUCAUUUUCAUAUCACUCGUCUCUUUAAUAAACCAACCAACACCUUUAAUAUCCAUCUGACUGUUAUACAAUUUUUAAGGAAUUGAAUGAGGUUACAGGGCUACUACGAUACGUUUGCACGAUAAGAUAUUCGCACGAAUGAAAUACAAUUUGCAGAAUUUGUUAAUUCAUUUAGUUCUCUGACUCGAUCGUUUGCACUUGGUUUAUUUUAAUAUGCAUUUUCGUUGGGAAUUUGAUGGAUCCUUUGGAAGGAGAAAUAUUUUAUUCGAUAUCCUAGUUAGUGGCCGGUUAACCGAAUUUCUGCGGAUUAAAUUCACUUAUCUAAACGUGAACUCCUAUUAUUUGAAUGAGAAAUUGUAGGUAGCAGGCAGAGUCAGUAAACUUUCAUUAUAUGAAUUCUAGUUACAACGAACAGCAUAACCGAACGAAUUAUUCUCGAAUAUAUCAAGCCACUGGCGAAUAACGAAAUGCUACUGAUUUGAAACAAUUGAAUUCUACUUAAUUAAUUUUCAUAGCAAAAGGAAAUAGUUCGUAGAAAUCUUAUAAUUGUUUGGUAUUCACUAUAAUAGAAUCUAUAUAUCGUUAUAAUAUAAUAAUAAUAAUAAUAAUAAUAAUAAUAAUAAAUGACGAAAGUAUUAGAACAUGUGAACGUUCAUAUUUAGAGAUAUGCAUACAAGAAAAUUUGAUGAAAAUUUGGAAAUUUACAUAGAAAUUACAAGACAUUUAUCACAUUCUAAACAACCAAUUGCACGUUACAAUUGCAUAUUUAGAAAUAUUUAAAACGUUACAUUAGUGGGCCUCGAUAUUUAGCGCUAAUUAUACGUUCAAAUUAUUCAUUUAAAAAUACAAAUACAAAUUUGAAAAUUUACAUAGAAAUUACAAGACAUUUGUCGCAUUCUAAACAACCAAUUGCACGUUACAAUUGCAUAUUUAGAAAUAUUUAAAACGUUACAUUAGUGGGCCUCGAUAUUUAGCGCUAAUUAUACGUUCAAAUUAUUCACUUAAAAAUACAAAUAUAAAUUUGAAAAUUUACAUAGAAAUUACAAGACAUUUGUCGCAUUCUAAACAACCAAUUGCACGUUACAAUUGCAUAUUUAAAAAUAUUUAAAACGUUACAUUAGUGGGCCUCGAUAUUUAACGCUAAUUAUACGUUCAAAUUAUUCAUUUAAAAAUACAAAUACAAAUUUGAAAAUUUACAUAGAAAUUACAAGACAUUUGUCGCAUUCUAAACAACCAAUUGCACGUUACAAUUGCAUAUUUAGAAAUAUUUAAAACGUUACAUUAGUGGGCCUCGAUAUUUAGCGCUAAUUAUACAUUCAAAUUAUUCAUUUAAAAAUACAAAUUUGAAAAUUUACAUAGAAAUUACAAGACAUUUAUCACAUUCUAAACAACCAAUUGCACGUUCCAAUUGCAUAUUUAGAAAUAUUUAAAACGUUACAUUAGUGGGCCUCGAUAUUUAGCGCUAAUUAUACGUUCAAAUUAUUCACUUAAAAAUACAAAUAUAAAUUUGAAAAUUUACAUAGAAAUUACAAGACAUUUAUCACAUUCUAAACAACCAAUUGCACGUUCCAAUUGCAUAUUUAGAAAUAUUUAAAACGUUACAUUAGUGGGCCUCGAUAUUUGGCGCUAAUUAUACGUUCAAAUUAUUCAUUUAAAAAUACAAAUACAAAUUUGAAAAUUUACAUAGAAAUUACAAGACAUUUGUCGCAUUCUAAACAACCAAUUGCACGUUACAAUUGCAUAUUUAGAAAUAUUUAAAACGUUACAUUAGUGGGCCUCGAUAUUUAGCGCUAAUUAUACGUUCAAAUUAUUCAUUUAAAAAUACAAAUUUGAAAAUGUACGUAGAAAUUACAAGACAUUUGUCGCUUCCUGUACAGACAAUUACGCGUUUUAAUUACACGUUUAAAAUGUAUAUAUACAGAUUGGAAAUAAAUUGAAGAACGAGCGUAAAAAGCACAAGCUGCCUGUUGUAAACGUGCAAUGAAUGUGAGUCGCAAGAUUAUUUAAACAAUUCAACAUACGUUACAGUAACAAGCCUCAACGUUUAGAACCAAUUAAGACAACUAUGUUAAGGCUCUAUACUACUUUUUUAUCAGGUAUACGACCACAGUAAACGCCUUGUAAGUUUCAUAAACAUUUGCAAAUCGCAGAGAAUGAAAUUGAUAAGAAAUGGAAUUUAAAAAAGUUUCGUAUAAUACGCGCAAUAGGAAAUGUAUAAUAACAAUAAAUAAUACGUAUAAUAAUAUUGCAUGACACAAGUUGGAACACGUUCGCGAGUCACCGCGCGAAUUCAUGCGAACGUUUUGCUUCCUAUGUUCGGAUAAAUAAAAUCCUAAUAUCUGCGAAUUAUCGCCAUAUUAUUCAAAUUACAGUGAAUAAAAAGUAAUGACAUUAUUAGGAACAGGUCCGAAGCGAUGAGUAUCGUGUGGAACAGUGAGCCGCGUGUUUUGAAAAUUGGCCGGAAGUGGCGGCGCCUCGGCACCUUCGAGCGAAACGCUGAAAAGAGCAUAACGCGAGGGCAGAAGCCGUGGGAGAAAAGCAGGAUGAAACGAGUGGCCGACCUUGAAACGUAUCGUACGAGUUCCGUGUAAAUGGACGAUCUGUGCCCGGCCGAGCCAAAUAAGCGGUUUCGAGGUAUCGAUUUUAAUUUAACAUUAACGAGCUCGUUCAUUAAACUUUUGAUAAUGCAUUGCUCGAUAAAUUUCGCCAGGUGAACUCUCGCCCUCGUAACAAAUACGCGGGGUCACUAUUACGCGCCAGCUAUAAUUAUAAAAUACUUUUCGAAACGCGGGAAUAUUUCCGCUACAACUUUUCCGCGUUAACCUCGAACAACGAAAUUAAAUUCUCGUUAACGCCGUGGAUACAGCUCGAUCAAUUAAUCCCGAUUAAUAAAAGAAUAAUAGACGAAAAUGAGCGUUUUAUUCGAUGAAUUUCAUCUACUAGAAUUGUCGCGAAGAAUUAUUACGAUCGAUGAAACGAAUCGCGUCAGUGUAAAUCAUUGCCAUUAGAAAUUGUUCUCAGACAAGGAUGAGAAAUGUGCUGGCGUGUGUGUGUGAAUUUAAAAAAAAAAAUGGGAUUGCCAUGAAAUUUUAAACGUGGAACAGAGAACUGUGAUAAAGAAGGUCGGAGAAGAAACUGUGAAUCGCUUCGACUACGAAAUAAAUGUAUCAAUUAUUUCGUGGAUAAGAAAUGGAAUUUACGCAAUGAAAUUUUCAACGAUAAAUAAACGAACGACGAAUUAAACGAAUGCAGUGCUUCGAAAAAAGUAACUGGACCUCGCUUCGAUUAUGGAUUCGAUUGCCGUUAAUUGCACGCCAGAUAUUUCUCACGGCGACAAGAAGUAACAUUAAUGGAAAUAAAAUUGCACAUAUAAAUGUAUAAAUAAUCUGGCUAAUAUAUAAAGCGAAAAACUUGGCGUCGACCGUGGACUUAGUCGGCUAACGAUCAAAUCGGUGAACCGUUUUGCACCUCGUAUUCACGCGCAAUGGCCCGUUCGUGAGACCGACGACACCGGAAGUCGUCGACCAUUCGUACGACAAGGUGGAGACUCGUGGAAAGUUAACGAGCGUGCCACGACGUCGCUCCAUCUCCUCGCGUAGAUUUAUCGUAGAUUUCCGAUUUACAAGGCAAUUCGCGCUCACGCGUGCUGCAAUAAUAAACAUAGUUACUUGGCGAGUAGCGAUAGCAACAAUAACAGUAGAAACAGCAGCAGCAAUAAUAACACUUUGAAUUUCACGAGCGAUGGUAUUAACAAUUACAAUGGUAAAAAUAACGACGAUCGUCGUAACGAAUAACUGAUAACUUGCCUGUAACGAGCGUCGUUGUUAUAAUUGCGAAAUGAAGAUACGAUAAUAAAGGAAUAGAAUACGAAGAAAUUGCAAGUGGCGUUUAUGAUAAUUUCCGUAUAGUUGCGAUAUUUUCGUUCGACGAUAAACGGCAGCGCGUACGUUCUUGUAAGAUAAAUCCGUCCAAAUCUCACAUUUGUCGCUAUGAUUUCUAAGCGAAAAUAAAUUGGGAAAUUUAGUUCGCUUUCUUACUCGUUACGCAUCGAUUUUCCAUAUCGACCUUGUAGUUUCAAGUGUGACACAUUAUUCUAAUUUUAAUCGCCACUUAAUCUAUCAUUAAGUAGCUUAAACUUUCAUAACAAGUUGAGCCGAGAUUAAAUGUAACAUUGAAUACGAUAACAUAUUUCUAAGUAUUAGUUAAGUACCAGUUAAAUGCCACAUUCUUAAGAUUAACCUACAACUUCUGAAAAUGUACGCCACGUCCUUUCUCCUGGCUGUGAAAAUAAAUAGAGCUACAGACACACACACACACACACAUUAUCAUUAGAGUUAGGGGCGUUUAACAUUUGUUCCCGUGAAUCGGCCAUCCUUGUUACGUGCUAUAAAUGAUAUCUUACUGAUACAAACGUAAUUACUGCAGAGUUUAACGAGUCAUAGCGGUGAUGAGAUAAUCGAGAUGUUGAUGACGAUGAAUUUAGAUUCGAUAGCGAAUCCACGGUCAACGGGACGACGAAUGCGAUUUCUGCCACAGCCUGAGUCGAACUCGACCUACCGAUCCACGAUUCGGCUGUGUCUCAACGUACUUGUCCCCAGCACGAGUAGAACUUGUCUGACUGACCCUCAGUCCAAGUGGAACUGCCCUUGUGUACUCCUCCCCGUACCUCUCUGUACCCCUCGGGUCAAUCUUUGUUUUUAAGGAGAGCUAUUUAAUUGAUCCGUACCUCUGUUAGGUACAGUGAACGUGGCUACGUUCAGCGACCCGUUAUGUCACUUCGAGUCGAAGCCCACUGUCAUAAAUCUGGGGCACCCAUGCUCGCAUUAAAUCAUAAACAACUAUUUCUCGGUUUUAUUGUUUAAGCACAGCUAUGAUAAGAAGUCUGGACUAUAGUAUCGGGGACCUUGCCAAAUAUCCCAAAAGAAAGGCCCCGAUGUGCCUUCAUCCGCGACGUAUGUGUCGGAGUCAGGUUGGAAUUUUGGGGCGUUCGAUGAACCUUUGCUUACUUUACGGAUGUAGCUAAUGUUUAUCGGUACAAAUGUGGACACUGCAAGAGGCUGUGAGUAAUAGCGGCGAUAGGAUGGUCGAGAUGAUGGUGACAACGAAUUCAGGUUCGAUAACAAAUCCACGGUCCACGGAAUGACGAGUGCAAACGUGAUACACGAUUCGGCUAACUUUCUCAAUCAACAAUUCGUCCAACGACUAACUAACUCGUAAUCCAAAUGAAACUGCCCUUAUAUAUUCCUGUCCCCACUUCUCAAUCUUUGUUUUUAAGGAGAGUCAUACAAUCAUUCCAUACCUCUGUCAGGUACACGUCCCUCCCGUGACCCUGGCUACGUCUAGUGACCCGCUAUGUCACCUUGAACCCGAACCCAUCGUGAUAAAGCCAGAUUCGAACAUUAGAACUAUUUCUUAUUUUUAUUACUUAAGUGUAGCUAUAGUAAAAGUCUAGACUAGGGUAUUGGGGUUUCUUCCAAUAUUCCAUUCAGGAAAUCCCCAUGUUCUUUCAUCUCCGACAUAUAUAAUCCGUAAAAUUGUUAUCAUUCGCUGUACCCAUAGACUACGACGUGAAAUCUGACAAUUUUUUAGAAUUAUAGAUCUCGUUAGAUAUUCCUGCAAGCCGGUUGAAAAUUUCAUUUUGCAGCGGAAAUAUCGGCCAUAAAACUCGCAGCGAUCAUGCACCUUUUGCUCCAUCGCGUGAAUAAUACAACCUCGUGGAACAGCGAGCCUUUGUUUUUUCAAAUCACGCGUGAAUAUCGUUUUGCAGCGCUAGUUAAACGUUGCAGCGAAAACCACAGGCAAUGAAAUACGUAAAGAGCACAGCGUGUACUCGCGCGUCCAAUAAACUGUAUGUAAAAUUGCUGUACGUGCUGCGUUAUUUAUUUCGCACGAUUAUAGACGUAAUUGUACGGUAGUAAAUACGAGCGCUUGUUGAAAAAGCAAAGAAGCGGGUUGGCGCGGCUCUGUGCAAGGGGCGGAAAAGAAAGCGAUACUCGACGAUCACUUGCAGGAGCAACCUUGAAAACUCCGCUUCGGAGAAACCACCGUGGAAAAGUCACGGGAACGUUGCACGGGGUUAACGGGGGACGAAGAGAGAAGUAAUUAUUGCUAUACAAUGCACGGAUCUUUGAUCUCUUUGGAAAGGAAACCGUAACAACCAGGUAAAACUGUACGCCAAAGUAUUUGGAGAUUUAGCAUGGCAAGCUUUAUGCUCGUAUCGUGUGCUUUAUGUUGAAUACUUUGAAAUUUCCUUGCGACUGGCUUGAUCCUAUUGAUAAAGUUUGAAAACGAUGUAAAAUUGUGUACGUAGAAAUUGCAAGGUAUUUAUUGCACAUGUAUAUUUGAUAAAAAAUUAGUAUACCGAGUGAACGGCAGUUUUAAGCAGCUCGUAACAGAUCAAUGAAAUUUGAAAAAUUCGUAAAAGGUUUCUAGAAGCGAGCCUAUGUAUAUCAGGUCUAUCCUGAAAGCUGAUAUUAUAUUCCACUUCAGGUUCUUCUUUUUCAGAUUAAUCAGUUCUUUUGUACGUGCGAUUGAUGUAAGUGAGAGUGUUUGCCGUUAGAAGCUGCUCCUUCUGUCAGAGUUCUCUUGUAUUGUUUAGCGUGAAUGAAAUCAAGUAAAUUAAUUAUUAUUGAAAAGAAAGAAGAAAA